GCGUUAAGUUGCAGGGUAUAGACCCGAAACCCGGUGAUCUAGCCAUGGGCAGGUUGAAGGUUGGGUAACACUAACUGGAGGACCGAACCGACUAAUGUUGAAAAAUUAGCGGAUGACCUGUGGCUGGGGGUGAAAGGCCAAUCAAACCGGGAGAUAGCUGGUUCUCCCCGAAAGCUAUUUAGGUAGCGCCUCGUGAAUUCAUCUCCGGGGGUAGAGCACUGUUUCGGCUAGGGGGCCAUCCCGGCUUACCAACCCGAUGCAAACUGCGAAUACCGGAGAAUGUUAUCACGGGAGACACACGGCGGGUGCUAACGUCCGUCGUGAAGAGGGAAACAACCCAGACCGCCAGCUAAGGUCCCAAAGUCAUGGUUAAGUGGGAAACGAUGUGGGAAGGCCCAGACAGCCAGGAUGUUGGCUUAGAAGCAGCCAUCAUUUAAAGAAAGCGUAAUAGCUCACUGGUCGAGUCGGCCUGCGCGGAAGAUGUAACGGGGCUAAACCAUGCACCGAAGCUGCGGCAGCGACGCUGAUGCGUUGUUGGGUAGGGGAGCGUUCUGUAAGCCUGUGAAGGUGGCCUGUGAGGGUUGCUGGAGGUAUCAGAAGUGCGAAUGCUGACAUAAGUAACGAUAAAGCGGGUGAAAAGCCCGCUCGCCGGAAGACCAAGGGUUCCUGUCCAACGUUAAUCGGGGCAGGGUGAGUCGACCCCUAAGGCGAGGCCGAAAGGCGUAGUCGAUGGGAAACGGGUUAAUAUUCCCGUACUUGGUGUUACUGCGAAGGGGGGACGGAGAAGGCUAUGUUGGCCGGGCGACGGUUGUCCCGGUUUAAGCGUGUAGGUGUGUGUUCCAGGUAAAUCCGGUUCACUUUAACACUGAGGCGUGAUGACGAGGCACUACGGUGCUGAAGCAACAAAUGCCCUGCUUCCAGGAAAAGCCUCUAAGCAUCAGGUAACAUCAAAUCGUACCCCAAACCGACACAGGUGGUCAGGUAGAGAAUACCAAGGCGCUUGAGAGAACUCGGGUGAAGGAACUAGGCAAAAUGGUGCCGUAACUUCGGGAGAAGGCACGCUGACACGUAGGUGAAGUGAUUUACUCACGGAGCUGAAGUCAGUCGAAGAUACCAGCUGGCUGCAACUGUUUAUUAAAAACACAGCACUGUGCAAACACGAAAGUGGACGUAUACGGUGUGACGCCUGCCCGGUGCCGGAAGGUUAAUUGAUGGGGUCAGCGCAAGCGAAGCUCCUGAUCGAAGCCCCGGUAAACGGCGGCCGUAACUAUAACGGUCCUAAGGUAGCGAAAUUCCUUGUCGGGUAAGUUCCGACCUGCACGAAUGGCGUAAUGAUGGCCAGGCUGUCUCCACCCGAGACUCAGUGAAAUUGAACUCGCUGUGAAGAUGCAGUGUACCCGCGGCAAGACGGAAAGACCCCGUGAACCUUUACUAUAGCUUGACACUGAACAUUGAGCCUUGAUGUGUAGGAUAGGUGGGAGGCUUUGAAGUGUGGACGCCAGUCUGCAUGGAGCCGACCUUGAAAUACCACCCUUUAAUGUUUGAUGUUCUAACGUGGACCCGUGAUCCGGGUUGCGGACAGUGUCUGGUGGGUAGUUUGACUGGGGCGGUCUCCUCCUAAAGAGUAACGGAGGAGCACGAAGGUUGGCUAAUCCUGGUCGGACAUCAGGAGGUUAGUGCAAUGGCAUAAGCCAGCUUGACUGCGAGCGUGACGGCGCGAGCAGGUGCGAAAGCAGGUCAUAGUGAUCCGGUGGUUCUGAAUGGAAGGGCCAUCGCUCAACGGAUAAAAGGUACUCCGGGGAUAACAGGCUGAUACCGCCCAAGAGUUCAUAUCGACGGCGGUGUUUGGCACCUCGAUGUCGGCUCAUCACAUCCUGGGGCUGAAGUAGGUCCCAAGGGUAUGGCUGUUCGCCAUUUAAAGUGGUACGCGAGCUGGGUUUAGAACGUCGUGAGACAGUUCGGUCCCUAUCUGCCGUGGGCGCUGGAGAACUGAGGGGGGCUGCUCCUAGUACGAGAGGACCGGAGUGGACGCAUCACUGGUGUUCGGGUUGUCAUGCCAAUGGCACUGCCCGGUAGCUAAAUGCGGAAGAGAUAAGUGCUGAAAGCAUCUAAGCACGAAACUUGCCCCGAGAUGAGUUCU
Molecule: ribosomal RNA, 2140 nt
Filed under: Salmonella enterica subsp. diarizonae serovar 61:k:1,5,7
Lineage: Bacteria; Pseudomonadati; Pseudomonadota; Gammaproteobacteria; Enterobacterales; Enterobacteriaceae
Description: bacterial LSU rRNA
Rfam family: Bacterial large subunit ribosomal RNA
Source: RNAcentral